GAUGAACGCUGGCGGCGUGCCUAAUACAUGCCAGUCGAGCGAACAGACGAGGAGCUUGCUCCUCUGACGUUAGCGGCGGACGGGUGAGUAAGAAGUGGAUAACCUACCUAUAAGACUGGGAUAACUUCGGGAAACCGGAGCUACUAAUGGAUAAUAUAUUGUACCGCAUGGUUCAAUAGUGAUAGACGGUUUUCCCGUUACUUAUAGAUGGAUUCGCGGCGCAUUAGCUGCUUGGUAAGGUACCGGCCCACCAAGGCGACGAUGCGUAGCUGAGCUGAGAGGAUGAGGAGCCACAUGGGGAAUGAGACACGGUCAAGACAGCUACGGGAGGCGGCAGUGGGGAAUAUUGGAAAAGGGGCGGAAUACUGAUCAAGCAAUACCGAGGGGGUGAAGAAGGAAUUAGGGUUGUAAAGACCUUUUGUUGGGAAAGAAAAGCAGCAGGUUAAUAACACGCUGUUAUGAGGGUACCAAAAGAAUAAGCACCGGCUAACUUCGUG
This 497-nucleotide ribosomal RNA is filed under the name uncultured bacterium. RNAcentral's name for it is "partial 16S ribosomal RNA". It matches the Rfam family "Bacterial small subunit ribosomal RNA", at positions 28 to 507 of the family's 1533-position model. The record is from RNAcentral.